This 460-nucleotide ribosomal RNA is filed under the name uncultured bacterium. Its description in RNAcentral is "partial 16S ribosomal RNA". It matches the Rfam family "Bacterial small subunit ribosomal RNA", at positions 338 to 795 of the family's 1533-position model. The record is from RNAcentral.
CCUACGGGUGGCAGCAGUGAGGAAUAUUGGUCAAUGGACGCAAGUCUGAACCAGCCAUGCCGCGUGCAGGAAGACGGCUCUAUGAGUUGUAAACUGCUUUUGUACGGGGGUAAACGCAGAUACGCGUAUCUGUCUGAAAGUAUCGUACGAAUAAGGAUCGGCUAACUCCGUUCCAGCAGCCGCGGUAAUACGGAGGAUUCAAGCGUUGUCCGGAUUUCUUGGGUUUAAAGGGUGCGUAGGCGGGCGGAUAAGUUAGAGGUGAAAUCCCGAGGCUCAACUUCGGAAUUGCAUCUGAUACUGUUCGGCUAGAGAGUAGGUGCGGUAGGCGGAAUGUAUGGUGUAGCGGUGAAAUGCGUAGAGAUCAUGCAGAACACCGAUUGCGAAGGCAGCGUACCAGGCAACUGCUGACGUUGAGGCACGAAAGCGUGGGGAGCAAACAGGAUUAGAUACCCGAGUAGUC